Molecule: ribosomal RNA, 402 nt
Filed under: Chinannus inermis
Lineage: Eukaryota; Metazoa; Arthropoda; Insecta; Hemiptera; Schizopteridae
Description: partial 28S ribosomal RNA
Rfam family: Eukaryotic large subunit ribosomal RNA
Source: RNAcentral
AGCUUUGCUUUAAAAGGGAGGAUGGUUUAAUUUUUUUUUAUAUAUUUUAUAUCUAAAAAAAAUAGACCCGCACUCCUGGGGCGUCUAUUACUCAUUUUUGAGUAAAGGGGCACCUAGAGCGUACACGUUGGGACCCGAAAGAUGGUGAACUAUGCCAGGCCAGGAUGAAGCCAGGGGAAACCCUGGUGGAGGUCCGUAGCGAUUCUGACGUGCAAAUCGAUCGUCAGAGCUUGGUAUAGGGGCGAAAGACUUAUCGAACCAUCUAGUAGCUGGUUCCCUCCGAAGUUUCUCUCAGGAUAGCUGGUGCCAAUGAUGAGACGAGUCUCAUCCGGUAAAGCGAAUGAUUAGAGGCCUUGGGGCCGAAACGACCUCAACCUAUUCUCAAACUUUAAAUGGAUGAGA